CCGCUGCAAAGUCCCAGUGAUGACCUCAAGGUGGCUGUCAACAACUCGUCAAUUGUUGAGAUGACAGCAACCUGCCCUUCAAGUGGACCACAGCUUGAAAUAGGCACCAGAACAAGACAGCAGACCUUGUGCAAUGCACUCUCCCACGGGCCUCCCAUUCCAAUUUCCCCUUUUUAAGCCUUUCUCCCCAGCCUAAAGUUUUAAGAGGUUUCUGGAGGCGUAAGGAUUCUAUUUAUGUUUAAUGAACAAAAAAAUUAGUUUCAAUGAAAACUUUAUUUGAAAUGAUGAAUUCAAGCUGUUACCAGCCUCCCAAGUAAGAUGCCAGAGACUUCAAACACUGCUGUUGUUUCUCAAGGAAAAGAUCCAGUUAACAAGGAAUCAUUCUCUCUUCUUCAAUAGCUGCUUACGAAAUAAAAACAUCAGUAGGAGGGGAAGGAGGAAGGAAGGAGAAGAAAGAGGAAGAAUAGGAGGAGAAGAGGAAGAGAGGAAGAAGUCGUGAACAGCCCUCCUGCAUUUUGCAUCAGGUAGAAAAGUCAGUUGAAUGUUGGGAAG
This 552-nucleotide long non-coding RNA is filed under the name Homo sapiens (human). RNAcentral describes it as "non-protein coding lnc-SPATA31A1-5:1". Lineage: Eukaryota; Metazoa; Chordata; Mammalia; Primates; Hominidae. The record is from RNAcentral.